RNAcentral lists this ribosomal RNA (764 nucleotides) under Spiniferites lazus. RNAcentral describes it as "partial large subunit ribosomal RNA". It matches the Rfam family "Eukaryotic large subunit ribosomal RNA", at positions 73 to 796 of the family's 3401-position model. Lineage: Eukaryota; Dinophyceae; Gonyaulacales; Gonyaulacaceae. The record is from RNAcentral.
GAUUCCUGUAGUAAUGGCGAAUGAACAUGGAACUGCUCAACUUGACAGUCUGGACUCUUAGUUUUGACUUGCUGGUUCCAAUGGCACUGCUAAUGGAAGUGUGCAUGUAAGGCUUUUGGAAAAAGGUUGCAACGAAGGUGAAACUCCUGUGUGACAUGUGCAAUAUUUCAUACAAGGCAUGCUUUGAUGAGUCGCGUUCCUUUGCAGUGGAGCGCUAAAUGGGUGGUAAACUUCAUCCAAAGUUAAAUAUUUGUUUGAGACCGAUAGUUAACAAGUACCAUGAGGGAAUUGUGAAAAGUACUUUGGAAAGAAAGUUAGAAGUACCUAAAAUUGCUGAAGUCAAAGCAAAUGAGAUGUGCGAGGUGAAGCAAGAUUGCGGUGUGCAGCUCUCAGCCAGCCGGUGCGUAUGUCCAAGCACCCUUCGCAGUUGUUCGUGCACCGUGUCACUUGCUUUGUAUGUUGAGACUAAGUUGCAGUGCCAAUGUUCUGAGCAUGAGGUAGCAACCAUAGGUUGGGGCGAUCAUGCUUAAAUCCAGCAUCCGGUUUGGUAGCUUUGCUAGGUAUUGUACCCAGUGGAAAGCUUGUGCUUUAGGGUGCACCUGGCAUGGUUGUUGGCUUGAUGUUUCAUUUGACCCGUCUUGAAACACGGACCAAGGAGUCUAAUGCAAGUGCAAGUCUGGGGUGAACAAUCUGGGGCAUAAUGAAAAUGGCAGUUGGCAUGCAUGCACCAACAACCAACCAGUCCAUUGUGAGAGGUUUGAGUU